UAGGGAAUCUUCCGCAAUGGACGAAAGUCUGACGGAGCAACGCCGCGUGAGCGAAGAAGCCCGUCGGGUGGUAAAGCUCUGUUGUAAGGGAAGAACAAGUGCCAUUUAACUGAUGGCACCUGACGGUACCUACGAGAAGCCGUCG
This 145-nucleotide ribosomal RNA is filed under the name uncultured Bacillus sp. RNAcentral describes it as "partial 16S ribosomal RNA". It matches the Rfam family "Bacterial small subunit ribosomal RNA", at positions 355 to 495 of the family's 1533-position model. The record is from RNAcentral. Lineage: Bacteria; Bacillati; Bacillota; Bacilli; Caryophanales; Bacillaceae.